UGGGGAAUUUUGGACAAUGGGGGCAACCCUGAUCCAGCCAUGCCGCGUGAGUGAAGAAGGCCUUCGGGUUGUAAAGCUCUUUCGGCCGGAAAGAAAGCUUACCUCUGAAUACGGGGUGAGGGUGACGGUACCGGCAGAAGAAGCACCGGCUAACUACGUGCCAGCAGCCGCGGUAAUACGUAGGGUGCGAGCGUUAAUCGGAAUUACUGGGCGUAAAGCGUGCGCAGGCGGCUCUUUAAGCUUGCUGUGAAAGCCCCGGGCUUAACCUGGGAAUGGCAGUGAGGACUGGAGUGGCUGGAGUGUGGCAGAGGGGGGUGGAAUUCCACGUGUAGCAGUGAAAUGCGUAGAGAUGUGGAGGAACACCGAUGGCGAAGGCAGCCCCCUGGGCUAACACUGACGCUCAGGCACGAAAGCGUGGGGAGCAAACAG
Molecule: ribosomal RNA, 429 nt
Filed under: uncultured bacterium
Lineage: Bacteria
Description: bacterial SSU rRNA
Rfam family: Bacterial small subunit ribosomal RNA
Source: RNAcentral